AACGCACAUUGCGCCCUUUGGUAUUCCGAGGGGCAUGCCUGUUCGAGCGUCAUUUCAACUCUCAAGCUUAUGCUUGGUAUUGGGUGUCGUCCUGCCUAUACAUUUAGGCGGGACUCGCCUGAAACUCAUGGGCGGUAGUUCAUUACACCGAGCGUAGUCAAAUCUUUACCUCGCUCUUGGACGUUUUGUUAACUGACCUGCCUAAUAACCCCCCCUAAAUAUUCAAAGUUUGACCUCGGAUCAGGUAGGGAUACCCGCUGAACUUAA
RNAcentral lists this unclassified non-coding RNA (267 nucleotides) under uncultured Dothideomycetes. RNAcentral describes it as "sequence contains 5.8S rRNA gene, ITS2, 28S rRNA gene". The record is from RNAcentral. Lineage: Eukaryota; Fungi; Ascomycota; Dothideomycetes.